UUUGAACGCUGGCGGCAGGCCUAACACAUGCAAGUCGAGCGGAUGAAGGGAGCUUGCUCCUGGAUUCAGCGGCGGACGGGUGAGUAAUGCCUAGGAAUCUGCCUGGUAGUGGGGGAUAACGUCCGGAAACGGGCGCUAAUACCGCAUACGUCCUGAGGGAGAAAGUGGGGGAUCUUCGGACCUCACGCUAUCAGAUGAGCCUAGGUCGGAUUAGCUAGUUGGUGGGGUAAAGGCCUACCAAGGCGACGAUCCGUAACUGGUCUGAGAGGAUGAUCAGUCACACUGGAACUGAGACACGGUCCAGACUCCUACGGGAGGCAGCAGUGGGGAAUAUUGGACAAUGGGCGAAAGCCUGAUCCAGCCAUGCCGCGUGUGUGAAGAAGGUCUUCGGAUUGUAAAGCACUUUAAGUUGGGAGGAAGGGCAGUAAGUUACUACCUUGCUGUUUUGACGUUACCAACAGAAUAAGCACCGGCUAACUUCGUG
This 484-nucleotide ribosomal RNA is filed under the name uncultured bacterium. RNAcentral's name for it is "partial 16S ribosomal RNA". It matches the Rfam family "Bacterial small subunit ribosomal RNA", at positions 30 to 507 of the family's 1533-position model. The record is from RNAcentral.